AUGAUCUGCUCGUACUCCGGUUCCUGCGCGCCGUCCGCUCCCACCUGACCACCGUUCACCAGGUCUAGCC
RNAcentral lists this small RNA (70 nucleotides) under Xanthomonas axonopodis pv. ricini. RNAcentral's name for it is "sX9 sRNA". It matches the Rfam family "Xanthomonas sRNA sX9". RNAcentral also lists the same sequence under 1 other name. Lineage: Bacteria; Pseudomonadati; Pseudomonadota; Gammaproteobacteria; Lysobacterales; Lysobacteraceae. The record is from RNAcentral.